This 1508-nucleotide ribosomal RNA is filed under the name uncultured bacterium. RNAcentral's name for it is "partial 16S ribosomal RNA". It matches the Rfam family "Bacterial small subunit ribosomal RNA". The record is from RNAcentral.
GUUUGAUCAUGGCUCAGGAUGAACGCUAGCGGCAGGCUUAACACAUGCAAGUCGAGGGGCAGCGGGGAGGAAGCUUGCUUUCUCCGCCGGCGACCGGCGCACGGGUGAGUAACACGUAUGCAACCUGCCCCUGUCAGGGGGACAACCCGCCGAAAGGCGGGCUAAACCCGCGUAUAUGCCACCGGGGCAUCCCGGAGGCAGGAAAGGCUUCGGCCGGACAGGGAUGGGCAUGCGGCGCAUUAGGCAGUAGGCGGGGUAACGGCCCACCUAACCGACGAUGCGUAGGGGUUCUGAGAGGAAGGUCCCCCACACUGGUACUGAGACACGGACCAGACUCCUACGGGAGGCAGCAGUGAGGAAUAUUGGUCAAUGGUCGGGAGACUGAACCAGCCAAGCCGCGUGAGGGAUGAAGGUACAGAGUAUCGUAAACCUCUUUUGUCAGGGAACAAAGGCGGGGACGCGUCCCCGGAUGAGUGUACCUGAANAAAAAGCAUCGGCUAACUCCGUGCCAGCAGCCGCGGUAAUACGGAAGGAUGCGAGCGUUAUCCGGAUUUNNUUGGGUUUAAAGGGUGCGCAGGCGGUCUGUUAAGUCAGCGGUCAAAGCCCGGGGCUCAACCCCGGCCCGCCGUUGAAACUGACAGUCUCGAGUUGGAGAGAAGUAUGCGGAAUGCGCGGUGUAGCGGUGAAAUGCAUAGAUAUCGCGCAGAACUCCGAUUGCGAAGGCAGCAUGCCGGCUCCACACUGACGCUGAGGCACGAAAGCGUGGGUAUCGAACAGGAUUAGAUACCCUGGUAGUCCACGCAGUAAACGAUGAAUGCUGGCUGUCCGGGGGGACUGACCCCUGGGUGGCGAAGCGAAAGCGAUAAGCAUUCCACCUGGGGAAGUACGCCNGCAACGGUGAAACUUNAAAGGAAUUGACGGGGGCCCNCNCNAAGCGGANGAACNUGUGGNUUUAAUUCNAUGANUACNCGGAGGAACCUUNNCCCGGGCUUNAAACGGGGANGUGGCNCAGGCAANANACNCCUNUUUNCCNNCGGGANACCUCCCCNGAGGUGCUGCAUGGUUGUCGUCAGCUCGUGCCGUGAGGUGUCGGCUUAAGUGCCAUAACGAGCGCAACCCCCGCGUGCAGUUGCUAACAGUCAACGCUGAGGACUCUGCACGGACUGCCGGCGCAAGCCGCGAGGAAGGCGGGGAUGACGUCAAAUCAGCACGGCCCUUACGUCCGGGGCGACACACGUGUUACAAUGGGUGGUACAGCGGGAAGCCAGGCGGCGACGCCGAGCGGAACCCGAAAUCCACUCUCAGUUCGGAUCGGAGUCUGCAACCCGACUCCGUGAAGCUGGAUUCGCUAGUAAUCGCGCAUCAGCCAUGGCGCGGUGAAUACGUUCCCGGGCCUUGUACACACCGCCCGUCAAGCCAUGGGAGCCGAGGGCGCUUGAAGUGCGUCGCCGCGAGGCNCUNCCUAGAGCGAAAUCGGUGACUGGGGCUAAGUCGUAANCAAGGUAACC